This 228-nucleotide ribosomal RNA is filed under the name uncultured bacterium. RNAcentral's name for it is "partial 16S ribosomal RNA". It matches the Rfam family "Bacterial small subunit ribosomal RNA", at positions 524 to 751 of the family's 1533-position model. The record is from RNAcentral.
UACAGAGGUCCCAAGCGUUUGUUCGGAUUCAUUGGGCGUAAAGGGUGCGUAGGUGGCGCCGUAAGUCAGGUGUGAAAUCUCGGGGCUUAACUCCGAAACUGCAUUUGAUACUGCGGUGCUUGAGGACUGGAGAGGAGACUGGAAUUUACGGUGUAGCAGUGAAAUGCGUAGAGAUCGUAAGGAAGACCAGUGGCGAAGGCGGGUCUCUGGACAGUUCUGACACUGAGG